GGGGGGUGAGACAAGAACGAAGCAACGUCAGCAGUAGCUGGAACAGUAUUAAUCCAGACACCACGCUCGCUACAUCUCUCCAGCCACCACGCCACCACCGACCCCUCGAGUGUACGCAGCCCAGUGUCCGUCUGUGUCUUGUCGUGGGCGUGACGUUCAGCAGCGGCAGGAACAGCAACGGGAAACUUGAUCUGCGUGGGUUUUCGUGCGGCGGGGUGACGUGCCGCUGCUGUGAGGUUAUCGGACCACAGCACAGCACAGCACAGCACAGAGGAGGAGAGAAUAGGUACCAGAAUCGGCGAAAAGAAUGAGUGGACAAGAUUUCCUAACGUAACGAGGCUGGUGUUUCAAGGCGUUGACGAUCCAAAGGCCUGACUCCACAGCGGUAAUGAGCCUCGUCUACCUUGCACUUAACGGACAAUGCUCACUACCAACACUCUGCCUCCGCCACCGCCACUGCCGCCGUUGAGGGAGACUGGCUGGAUGAGUGGGUGAUAGAGGCGAGGCAGGUGUGGUGAGGCGGAGGAUUGGAGACGAGAACCUACAGAUGACGGCAGACACGGAAGAUUCCACUAACCAGGAGUUGGUGAUCCGAAGCCGUGACUGCAGCGAUCCCGUGCGUCCUGCACCAUCAGGAAGGACUCUCUGGCUUCGCACUGCGCCUACAUUGACCGUUGCCGCUGCUACCGCUACUCGGAGGGGCACUGCCUCGCAUUGGGCCUUCACUGCCGUCCCGCUAAUACACGUGUCGCCGUCGCAGCUACUGGCACUGAGGGACUUCGCCUCGCAGCGGCCUGGCAAACACCUGCUACACCACCACCACCACCACCACCACCACCGGAGUCCAGAGAUUCAGCUUCGCAUAGCAGACAUCCUCCUAUUCAACGCUUGCUGCCACUACCACCUCAUUAUGGUGGUGUCACUGUACUUGGAUCUGUUGUCACUACUGAAUAAUAAUGUGUAAAGAAA
Molecule: unclassified non-coding RNA, 969 nt
Filed under: Portunus trituberculatus (swimming crab)
Lineage: Eukaryota; Metazoa; Arthropoda; Malacostraca; Decapoda; Portunidae
Description: uncharacterized LOC123502281, transcript variant X2
Source: RNAcentral